GAUGAACGCUGGCGGCGUGCCUAACACAUGCAAGUCGAGCGAAGCACCUUACUUGAUUUCUUCGGGAUGAAAGUAUUGUGACUGAGCGGCGACGGGUGAAGUACGCGUAGAGUAACCUGCCUCAUACAGGGGGAUAACAGUUAGAAAUGACUGCUAAUACCGCAUAAGACCACAGCACCGCAUGGUGCAGGGGUAAAAACUCCGGUGGUAUGAGAUGGAUCCGCGUCUGAUUAGCUAGUUGGUAAGGUAACGGCCCACCAAGCCGACGAUCAGUAGCCGACCUGAGAGGGUGACCGGCCACAUUGGGACUGAGACACGGCCCAA
RNAcentral lists this ribosomal RNA (324 nucleotides) under uncultured bacterium. RNAcentral's name for it is "bacterial SSU rRNA". It matches the Rfam family "Bacterial small subunit ribosomal RNA", at positions 28 to 334 of the family's 1533-position model. The record is from RNAcentral.